RNAcentral lists this ribosomal RNA (37 nucleotides) under Hermanssonia centrifuga. RNAcentral describes it as "Phlebia centrifuga partial 28S ribosomal RNA". The record is from RNAcentral. Lineage: Eukaryota; Fungi; Basidiomycota; Agaricomycetes; Polyporales; Meruliaceae.
UGACAUCUGACCUCAAAUCAGGUAGGACUACCGCUGA